Molecule: ribosomal RNA, 497 nt
Filed under: uncultured bacterium
Lineage: Bacteria
Description: partial 16S ribosomal RNA
Rfam family: Bacterial small subunit ribosomal RNA
Source: RNAcentral
GAUGAACGCUGGCGGCGUGCCUAAUACAUGCAAGUCGAGCGAACAGACGAGGAGCUUGCUUCUCUGACGUUAGCGGCGGACGGGUGAGUAACACGUGGAUAACCUACCUAUAAGACUGGGAUAACUUCGGGAAACCGGAGCUAAUACCGGAUGAUAUAUUGAACCGCAUGGUUCAAUAGUGAAAGACGGUCUUGCUGUCACUUAUAGAUGGAUCCGCGCCGCAUUAGCUAGUUGGUAAGGUAACGGCUUACCAAGGCGACGAUGCGUAGCCGACCUGAGAGGGUGAUCGGCCACACUGGAACUGAGACACGGUCCAGACUCCUACGGGAGGCAGCAGUAGGGAAUCUUCCGCAAUGGGCGAAAGCCUGACGGAGCAACGCCGCGUGAGUGAUGAAGGUCUUCGGAUCGUAAAACUCUGUUAUUAGGGAAGAACAAAUGUGUAAGUAACUAUGCACGUCUUGACGGUACCUAAUCAGAAAGCCACGGCUAACUACGUG